CGCUGAAGCGUUCCAAAUGACGCAACAAUACAGUUCCAGAACAGAGAAAGUUAAUGCCGAAGAUGUUGUUCGGUUCCACACUAAAACUGCUGUUUGACAAGUGUGAUUUGAGAAAUAAAACUUGUAGACCUUUCCUGCAGUCUCUGAGGAGAUGGACACCUCUUCUUCUUCUGGACGAUCUCCGUCUCCUACUGGGACUGUCUUCUUACCCCCUCCUAUCAUGUGGAACAGUCUCUACAAGCAGGCAGAGAUGGAGGUUCAGUUCCUGAGGGAAGAGAAGAAGACCUGUACAGAGAAGGAAGCCCACAUGCUUGAGUUGAGGGGGAAGGAUCGAACGAUCCGAAAUCAGAAGAAGGAGAUGGACAGACUUCAAGUGUGCCUCUGGGAGGAGGAAAA
This is a long non-coding RNA of Salvelinus namaycush (lake trout), 396 nucleotides long. RefSeq lists it as uncharacterized. The transcript is spliced from 3 exons. The record is from RefSeq and is a predicted model, not a curated record. Lineage: Eukaryota; Metazoa; Chordata; Actinopteri; Salmoniformes; Salmonidae.